Molecule: ribosomal RNA, 320 nt
Filed under: uncultured eukaryote
Lineage: Eukaryota
Description: partial 18S ribosomal RNA
Rfam family: Eukaryotic small subunit ribosomal RNA
Source: RNAcentral
CCCUUAGAUGUUCUGGGCUGCACGCGUGCUACAAUGGCGCUUGCAACAAGUCUUGCCAACCCGAUAGGGUGAGCGGAUCUUUGAAGAGGCGUCGUGAUCGGGACAGUUGAUUGCAAUUAUUCGACUCGAACGAGGAAUUCCUUGUAAUCGCGAUUCAUCAUAUCGCGCUGAAUACGUCCCUGCCCUUUGUACACACCGCCCGUCGCUCCUACCGAUUGAGCGAUCCGGUGAAUGUUUUGGACUGGCGUCAGAAGCGGUUCGCUCCUGACACUACGAAAUUUUGUAAACCUUAUCACUUAGAGGAAGGAAAAGUCGUAACA